GACGAACGCUGGCGGCGUGCCUAACACAUGCAAGUCGAACGGAGCUAUUGACUUCGGUUGAUAGCUUAGUGGCGAACGGGUGAGUAACGCGUGAGCAACCUGUCUUUCAGAGGGGGAUAACAACGAGAAAUCGUUGCUAAUACCGCAUAAGACCAUACUGUCGCAUGGCAGAGGGGUAAAAGGAGCAAUCCGCUGAUUGAGGGGCUCGCGUCCCAUUAGAUAGUAGGUGAGGUAACGGCUCACCUAGUCUGCGAUGGGUAGCCGAGCUGAGAGGCUGAACGGCCACACUGGGACUGAGACACGGCCCAGACUCCUACGGGAGGCAGCAGUGAGGAAUUUUGCGCAAUGGGGGAAACCCUGACGCAGCGACGCCGCGUGGAGGAUGAAGGCCUUCGGGUCGUAACUCCUGUCAGAGGUGAGAAUGCCCGCAGGGUUUGACGGUAACCUCAGAGGAAGCCCCGGCUAACUACGUGCCAGCAGCCGCGGUAAACG
This 492-nucleotide ribosomal RNA is filed under the name uncultured bacterium. RNAcentral describes it as "bacterial SSU rRNA". It matches the Rfam family "Bacterial small subunit ribosomal RNA", at positions 28 to 527 of the family's 1533-position model. The record is from RNAcentral.